CCGGGUUUCCCCAUUCGGAAAUCCACGGAUCAAAGCUUCUUCGCAGCUCCCCGUGGCUUAUCGCAGCGUAGCACGUCCUUCAUAGCCUCUCAGCGCCAAGGCAUCCACCGAAUGCCCUUAAGACACUUGAUCGCUCUCAUUAUCAAUGCCCAUUCCCACUCGGCGUGGCGAUCGCAGCGGUUAGAGCCGCAACGAUCAGGCAUUGAUUUAGAAAGACCAGCUUGCUUCGAGAUCGGUCCGACGUCCCCUGCGGUCAAGCAUGGGACGACACGCAUCGUCACGCGACACGAUCGAGGAUCUUGCGAUCCACGACACGCAUCACGCUUUGAUGCUGGAGAUUGCGCAGCCCGCACGGGAUUCACAUCCCGCCCGAGUGCUCGGAGCGAUCUCCUCUUCACGAUGUCAGAAACCACGCACGUCGCUGUCGCGACGCGCGAAGACAGUUUACUUCCGGACGAGCCGAUAACGGCUUUGAAUUGGCGGCUUGAAUUCAACCGACUGGUGGAGCCAGACGGGAUCGAACCGACGACCUCCUGCUUGCAAAGCAGGCGCUCUCCCAACUGAGCUAUGGCCCCUUAUUCAGCGGCAAGCUCAAGUCAGAUUGCAGUCUUCGCCUCGCUUGCGCGAGCGAA
This 632-nucleotide unclassified non-coding RNA is filed under the name uncultured bacterium. Its description in RNAcentral is "partial contains 16S ribosomal RNA, 16S-23S ribosomal RNA intergenic spacer, and 23S ribosomal RNA". The record is from RNAcentral.